UAAUAAUUUUCCCAUUAAUAAUUCUCUUUCGUUUCUAAUUUAAUAGAAUUUAAUUGGCCACCCAUAAAAGGAUUUUAAAUACUUCUAACUGAAAUUCUAAGGUGUAGAAGAAAAAUAUGGCAGGUAGGUAGCUCAAGAUUUUAAAAUGUGCACAUGCAAUAAUAGAAAAUCCAGGUAUCUUGGCUCAAGAUAACAUGAGUUGAAGGCAACGAAGUGUGGUUCCAUCGAGUUUAGUGAAACUUAAAA
Molecule: unclassified non-coding RNA, 246 nt
Filed under: Hevea brasiliensis (rubber tree)
Lineage: Eukaryota; Viridiplantae; Streptophyta; Magnoliopsida; Malpighiales; Euphorbiaceae
Source: RNAcentral